UAUUGGAAUUCGACUAAGCCAUGCGAGUCAAGGUGUCUUCGGACGCCGGCAAACGGCUCAGUAACACGUAGGUAAUCUACCCUCAGGACUGAGAUAACCCCGGGAAACUGGGGCUAAUACCAGAUAGAUAAAAGAUACUGGAAUGUUCUUUUAUCCAAAGCUUUUGUGCCUGAGGAUGAGCCUGCGCCCGAUUAGGUAGUUGGUGGGGUAAUGGCCCACCAAGCCUGCGAUCGGUACGGGCAGUGGGAGCUGUAGCCCGGAGUUGGGGACUGAGACAAGGCCCCAGGCCCUACGGGGCGCAGCAGGCGCGAAACCUCUGCAAUGCGGGAAACCGUGACAGGGGGAUUCCAAGUGCUCAUGCAUUGCAUGGGCUGUUCUUUGGUCUAAGUAACCAGAGGAGUAAGGGCUGGGCAAGACCGGUGCCAGCCGCCGCGGUAAUACCGGCAGCUCGAGUGGUAGCCGCGAUUAUUGGGCCUAAAACGUUCGUAGCCGGAUAAGUAAGUCUUUGGUUAAAUCCUACGACUUAACCGUGGGAAAUCUAGAGAUACUGCUUGUCUUGAGACCGGGAGAGGUUGGAGGUACUCCCAGGGUAGGGGUGAAAUCCUGUAAUCCUGGGGGGACCACCUGUGGCGAAGGCGUCCAACUGGAACGGCUCUGACGGUGAGGGACGAAACCUAGGGGAGCGAGCCGGAUUAGAUACCCGGGUAGUCCUAGGCGUAAAUGAUGCGAGUUAAGUGUGGGGGCAUCUACGAGAUGGCCCUGUGCUGUAGGGUAGCCGUUAAACUCGCUGCCUGGGGAGUACGGUCGCAAGGCUGAAACUUAAAGGAAU
RNAcentral lists this ribosomal RNA (829 nucleotides) under uncultured archaeon. RNAcentral's name for it is "bacterial SSU rRNA". It matches the Rfam family "Archaeal small subunit ribosomal RNA", at positions 31 to 865 of the family's 1478-position model. The record is from RNAcentral.